GCUUUACUGUUCUUUUCAAUUUAAAGACUUUACUAAUGAUAAAAGGAACCUAUUCUUCACUUCUCAUUUUUACAUUAGGAGUCUUUUUUAUGUUAAAAACGUAUUGGGAAAAGUAUAAUUUGCAUUGGUUCUAUCACAAGGAUAGGUAGAAAUCUAGUGUUUUCUCAUUCUUGGGAUGUUUCCUCUGGACCCACCUUAAAUGGCAAAGUAGGGAAAUAUGGAUGCUCAGUGGAUAGUGACUACAAACUUGCCUAGAGAAGAGGUUCUAUUUGGGGAACAGCAGUAAAGGCAGUGGAAAGGGUGUUUGGGAUCUGAAUGGAGAGGACUAGACUCGGUUGCAUGACCCAGCACUGAGACCCAGAGUUAGUACUGAAAUAAGAUUUAAAGGAAGUGGAUGGAAAGAUAGAAAAGGAGACUCACUUUCUUUUGGAGUAAAAGGAGUCCCAGCUGCAGGUUUUUAAACUACACCAUGCCAACUCUUUUUUUCCUCCAACAAAACAAACCAAACAAACAACAAAAAAUAACCCUAUAUUUGUAUAAGUAACUAGCAAGUGAGAGACAGCUGGGCUGUCUAUCCCAUCUACCCUGGUAUAAAGGUUAAUAUUUGGGCUAAUGUCAUUAUGAGAGUACAUCUUGAAGUUGGAAAACAGUAAUUAUCUUUACCUUCCAGGCUGCUGAUGAUAAGAAUGAAGUCUGUCCCAGACCCACUGCCACUGAACUGGAGACAAGCAAGGACUCUGCUUCGUGAGAGCAUGAUCUACCCAGUGGAACCUGCAAUCAGAGGCACAUGGGGCUGAUCCAGAGAUGCUGUGUCACUCAAGAUAGAAGAAAAAAUCAAGCUGAAAUGCAGUUUCUGUGACAGGUGGAAAGGUUUAUGUUGCUUGAAGCAUUUAUUUUACAUGCAAUUUUAAGAUUGUGGAUCUUUCUGAAGAGGAGGAUUACUUGGAGGGAAAUCUCCACCUCUGUGUUUGUAAAUACUCUCUCAUCUGAAACACAGUAGAGCAGGAGCCUGAGGAUCUGGGAUGGUAACAACAUCUUGCAGCUUCUCUUUUUGCUUGAUGUUGCUCAAGCUCCAUCCCCCAGAAAUGGCUCCAUUUACGAGAAUCAGAUCACCCUUCCAGGAUGCCAUCUAGCUCCCCGUGUUACCCAAACUUCCCAUCAAAUCUGUAAGUCCCAUAACAUGAGGCAGUCGUUUCAUUUUCUGCUCAGGUUAGACCGAGUUGGUUUUUACUGUUUGCAACGAAAAGUUGUGACUGAUAAAAAUAUGUUUCCAGAUUUGACAGAAUUAAAUCAUCAAAUUUUUUUCUCACAAAAUA
This is a non-coding RNA of Equus caballus (horse), 1316 nucleotides long. NCBI's taxonomy places the organism in Eukaryota, Metazoa, Chordata, Mammalia, Perissodactyla, Equidae. The record is from RefSeq and is a predicted model, not a curated record.